Molecule: long non-coding RNA, 2623 nt
Organism: Carcharodon carcharias (great white shark)
Lineage: Eukaryota; Metazoa; Chordata; Chondrichthyes; Lamniformes; Lamnidae
Exons: 2
Source: RefSeq, a predicted model, not a curated record
GCGUGCGCAAUAUCAAUGGUGGCGCAAGGGAUGUUGGAGAUGUUUGUUGCUUACCUCCUCCCUCCACACCCUCUUAUAUGUGAAACCUCCAGAAUGGAACCUUAAUCAAAUCAGAGUAAUGAAGUAAACGGUGCUGUGGAUAUAUAAGGUGGAAGUGGAAAACAGGAUUGCUGGGAAACACUUGGAUCACCUCAGAAGUCGAGAAACCCUCCAACAACCAGUUAAUCCACCUGAAAUUGUAAGUUGAAACACCUGAGAUGCCAGAUCGACAAAGAAUAGAUAUACCAGAUGUCUCUGUUGAAGCAAAUAAUUCCGAAGUGCCAUUGCCUCAAGAUGUCCCUGAAAGUGCAGUUCCUGCGCCAGUCGAUCCAAUACAGCUCCAACUGUAGAGUUGUGUCACUGUACCCGAAUCCGAAAACCACCUCAAAGACUGAAUUUAUAAUGGCAUGAACUGUAUAUAAUUGUAUAUAGUAUGGGUUCAGAUGUUUUGUAAAUAAGAGGGUAAAACAAAAUUAAAGGGGAGGAAUGUAAUGAUUGUUAGUUAAACCAUUUUUUACUGUUAUGGAGAUCAUGUGACUGUACAGAGGGUUUUUUAGCCUUGGUCUUGCAACAAGCAUGUGGCCCCUCUGAAGUCUGUUACUAAAGUUCACUGUUCCUUACAAGAAACCUGACCUGCACUCUUCAAGUUUAUUACAGUGGCUUUGUUCCACCCCAUUGCUGAAAACUACUGAGGCAUCACAAUCUGCAAGCCCCACCCCCCAACCACACCCCAGAACUCUCUGAUUUGUCCUAUCUCAAACUCAGAGUUGAUGCUGCAUAGGCAGCAUGUGCACCAAUUAAGAUGCUUAAAAAUGGGCCUCAGGCCUCAUUAGCCUUUUGUGCAACAGCCUGUUGUGCUUCUUAGGAAACUUGUGCCUUUGAACAGCAGCCCAAAGGUGGUACCUGGAAGUGGUUUGAAGUGGCCAAAGAGGAUUGAGGGGGAUGGAGGCAAUUACUAUGACUGGAGUAAGGGAGUAAAAUUGUUCCUCCUGGAUAUACGUUUUGGAAUAUGUAUUAAUAAAAACUUGAUUCUAGUUGCCAGAUAUAGCAGCUGUGGAAGAAUCCAGAGCUGGCCAGGCCUGCUGGGAGGGCAGAGCUCCAUGUAUACAUAUUAAACCAGGUGCAGAGCUCUGCUCAUUAUUUGACUGUUGAAGUUAGAAAAAGUACCAGUGGUACAUUUGGAUCAUUAGAAAUCCAAAGAUGGUCAAGUGGAUGUUUCAAACCCACCAAACCUUAAUUUUAAAGUGGUGUGAGGUUCUCAUUGAGGUAGUCCCAUACUCAGUACUGAGCAGAUGCUGAUUAGGCUGUAGUUACACUGCACGCUUGUAUGCCCUGCAAUGUUUUUGUAGCAAUGCAAAACUACAUUUGAAUUUCAUUCUGCUUGCCCAUGUAAAGAGAUAGCGUGGUUUAGUUAAAAAUUGUAUGUAAUGAGUUAUACAAUAUAAAUAUAAUUAUGUUAUUCCAGUGGUGUUCAAUCUUUGAAAAAUCUUUUGCCUCAGGUAAUUUUGAAGAUGUUUUAUGUAAACAGUUAAGAAGGUUUUAGUGUGCUAACUUUGUACAGUGAUUGACGGAAACUUGCAGCUGAAUGGGUAGCAAUUUCAAUCAGCAUGGGAAGUAAUACUUCCCCCAGGAUCGAAGACUAUGCUCUGGCAUUGGACUGAAAUGUCAAUCAACUUCAUCUUUGAAGGAAUCUUUGGAUGUCACAGAAUAUUCAACACAGAAGAUACUGAUGGACUCUAUAACACAAGUUUAUUUCAGGAAAGGGAAGUAAAAUAGUACCUUCUGUUCAUUAUACUUUAAAAGAGAUAUCCAAUUGUUGUAGAGGUAUGAUGCAAAAUCAGGAAAACCGAUCAAAUCAGAAAUCGCUUUUAAUUACAGUUCCAUCCUGACAUAGUAAUGUGAUCUCAUCAGGUUUUUAACCAUGCGCCUUUAUAUAUCUUGGAUUAUUAAAAUUCAUGCCUAGAGUGUCAGAGACAGGGUAGCAGUGAUUGACAUUUUCCCACUGAGACAAAAUGCUGCUAAAGAAAUCGGUUUUUUUAUUUGUCAUGAGUGUCAGACAAUUUAAAACCCUGGAGAGGAAAAGUGCUUGAGGGCAGAGUUAUGAGGAUCUUACAGGCUGAGUGAUAAGGGAUAGAGACUGCAUUCAGCUCUUCUUAAAAAUAUGCAAAUGACACAGCUGAUGCAUAUGAGGCACAGUGUAUUAUGCAGACAAUAAUUGGAAAAGACAGAUCACGUGGUGUUUUCCUGCUCAUCCUCCAUAACUCUAAUGGAAGGACUGCUGACCGACACUGGAAAAAUUGGAAUAAACAAAGUUUUGGAAUAUGAGCAGGAUAGCCUGCUAGAAAUUCACCAACCCAUGUUCUUAAUUUUAAAAUUUAAGGCGCACAUAUAUUCUUAUUGCAAUGUUAUGCAUGGAUCAUACAGACCAGUGAAUUCUUGUUAGCACACUUGGUUUAAAGUAUCACAUGGACAUUUUUGUUUUCAGAAACUUUUGGAAUUAAAUUUUUUCAAGGGAAUGCUUGUUACAUAUUGUAUUUAUUGAUAUUUAUACCUGUUAUUUGUUUAACAAAGAUAUUUAAAACAA